AGUGAACGCUGGCGGUAGGCCUAACACAUGCAAGUCGAACGGCAGCACAGAGGAGCUUGCUCCUUGGGUGGCGAGUGGCGGACGGGUGAGGAAUACAUCGGAAUCUACUCUGUCGUGGGGGAUAACGUAGGGAAACUUACGCUAAUACCGCAUACGACCUACGGGUGAAAGCAGGGGAUCUUCGGACCUUGCGCGAUUGAAUGAGCCGAUGUCGGAUUAGCUAGUUGGCGGGGUAAAGGCCCACCAAGGCGACGAUCCGUAGCUGGUCUGAGAGGAUGAUCAGCAACACUGGAACUGAGACACGGUCCAGAAUCCUACGGGAGGCAGCAGUGGGGAAUAUUGGACAAUGGGCGCGAGCCUGAUCCAGCCAUACCGCGUGGGUGAAGAAGGCCUUCGGGUUGUAAAGCCCUUUUGUUGGGAAAGAAAUCCAUCUGGUUAAUACCCGGGUGGGAUGACGGUACCCAAAGAAUAAGCACCGGCUAACUUCGUGCCAGCCGCCGCGGUAA
This 506-nucleotide ribosomal RNA is filed under the name uncultured bacterium. Its description in RNAcentral is "partial 16S ribosomal RNA". It matches the Rfam family "Bacterial small subunit ribosomal RNA", at positions 29 to 523 of the family's 1533-position model. The record is from RNAcentral.